This 2456-nucleotide long non-coding RNA is filed under the name Lactuca sativa (garden lettuce). RNAcentral's name for it is "long non-coding RNA (LSAT_LNC004533)". The record is from RNAcentral. Lineage: Eukaryota; Viridiplantae; Streptophyta; Magnoliopsida; Asterales; Asteraceae.
GAUGAUGUUGGCAAUCCAUGUGCCCAAAGCACAGAUAGUCUUCGAUGAAAAAUACACUUACCAAAACUCUUCCGGCAAUGGAUUCAAAUUUUGAAUCUUAAUUCCUAAUCUUAACUUUUUCAAAAUCUCACACUCUCUCCCUCAGAAACAACCAUCGAUCAUAUAUUUCCUCUCCCCCACCAUGUAUCGCCGCCUUCUCCACCAAAUACAACAACUUCAUCACUCACCACAUGCUCCACCGGUGUCGCCUUCUCCACUUCCAUAUGACCACCGCCCCACCACCAUCCAUCGAUGUCGCCUUUUUCGCUUCCACUAUGCCUCCCUCUAUUUCUUCUUCAAUAUAUAUGUAACUUAUCAACCACACCAUUUAUUUGAUGCUCUCUUUCUCUACUGUAGAAACGGGAAAGAUACCUGGGAAAGACACAAAUUCCAUCGCCAUUGCUGUAGAAUACAUCAUCUCAUGAUUAAAUAUCUUCCCCUGUCGAUCUACAAGUAAGUUAUAUAUCCAUUUUUUUGUUUUUCUUCCUUAAUGAAGUCAAACCUAGUUUAGGGUUUUUACGUUUUUCUUAUUUGGUUCAUGUCAAUUGAAUGUAUUUCGUGUUUCUGCAGGGGAUUUUGACGUUUCUGGGAUUGAAAUCGAACAGGGGAUUGUAAUUUCUAACAUUCAAAUCGAACAGGUUCACAUUUCAAGCUUCCUUAAUCCACAACUCUGAACAAGAAAAAAGAUUAAAAAAUAAUAAUUGAAAAAAAAUUCUUUUUCAUUUGUGUAGAAUCGCAGAUAGAGGAAAGAAAAGAAACUUGGAGACCAAACAUGAAGCCUAACCAUAAGAGGUUUGAUUUUGAUUUAUUUUUGCAUUUUUGCAGUCAAAGAUGGAUGAAGACAUAUCUGGAGGAGACAAGUCUGUGAAAUGAGUUGAAAGGUUAUUUUAUUUUUAAUCUUUUCAUCUAUAUAGGUUUCAAAUCAGAACCCAUGGUUGAUACAUGGGAAAUAGCUUACUUAUUUUGAGAUAACAAAGUUUGGUUCUUUGUUAUUUCAUAUAUUCUCAAAACAGAUUUGGUCUUUUUGUUAUCUAAGAUUAACUCACAACAUUGUUUUUUUUUUAAAAAAAAAAAUCUUAUACCAGAUUUAAUUGCAAUAGGUUUGGAGGUCUCCAGUUAAAUAGAAAGCUAUACCUUUUUUUUUCUCACCAUAUAAUGAUUUUGAACCAGUUUGAUGUUUGUUUAAUAAGGAUAUUUUGGAUUUUGUUCCAGGUUUGUAAAUAGAAAUAGAAGCAGAAAGUAGCAUGGUCAAAAGCUCUGAAUUUUAUUUGUUCCAUGUUUCUCUUCUUUAUAUUAAAGCAUUGACAUCAUUUUUAUUAAGGCAUUUAAUAUGAAAUAACAACUGACUUAUGGAUCUAAAAUAAAUUUUUGAUAAUUUAUGAACACUAACCCUCUACUUUUGUUUUUUUUUCUUAUUAAGCCAUCAUAUUUUGGAAAAGUCCACUUGAAUAUAACAAUGAAAAUUACAAACAUGGUUGUAAAUGUGUAGAUGUUCUAAUUUGGGAUUUUUUUGGGUUAAAUCCAAGAAAUAGAAACAUGCUUUACAAAUUAAUUAAAGUAUCUUGCUGUUAUUUUCCAUGUGGUUUUAAUUUUUAUAGUGUUUGAAUGUUAAUUUUGGUGCAGACAUUUUGAGCCAAAGAAGUGGGCAUCCUACUAGCCCUAAAAAAUAGAGCUGACAAUUCUCGACACGACCCGUGACACGACAGGAAAUAAAUGGGUUUGGGUUGAGUUUUUCAACCCGCCAACCCGCCUAUUAAACGGGUCAUAUAUGGGUUUUUCAAAAAAUAAAUGAGUUGACCCGCCAACCCGUUUAUAUACUCAAUAAAAAAAAUUAUUUUAUUUUUAAAUGUAUUUAUAUAUCAACUAUUAAUAUUUAAUAAGUCUUAUAUAAUAUAUAUCAUUGAUUAUUAGACCAUUUGACUAUUUUGACAUUUUGGCUCGUGGUGGAUGGUCUAAGGUCGUAAGUCGUAAUCUCUAAGGCUAAGUCUGUAACAUGUUUUUAUAAAUGUUUUUAAUUUUCAUUUGGAUGUUUAAGACUUAAAUGUCUAAAAUUUGGACCCACGAACCCAAAUCUAACCCAUGAACCUGCCAACCUGUGAACCCGUAUAAAUAAAUGGGUUUGCGGGUCAUAUGAUGGGUGCAGUUUGGCCGAAUAAAAUUUGAGAAUUUUCAACAUCAUGUAGGUUAUGAUUUGUAAAAUUUGGGCCUAGAUCAAGAACCGAACCGGACUGCCGGUUCUGGUUUUUGCAGGGUCUUCGAUGUCAGAACCGUCCUUCGAGAAAUAGCAACGUAUUCUGAGAAAUGUUUCGGUUAUGGUUUUGGUUAACGUCAGCUCUUGUCGAUCUUUGUUUAGCUAAUUGUUUGAUAAAUGCGAUGGUUAACCAAGCAAAUAUAAUUGGGUCAGUGAGAGGACUUUU